AGAGUUUGAUCCUGGCUCAGGACGAACGCUGGCGGCAUGCCUAACACAUGCAAGUCGAACGGAGAUUAUUUCGAUAAUCUUAGUGGCGAACGGGUGAGUAACGCGUGGGCAACCUGCCCUCUAGAUGGGGACAACAUCCCGAAAGGGGUGCUAAUACCGAAUGUGACAGCAAUCUCGCAUGAGGAUGCUGUGAAAGGUGGCCUCUAUUUAUAAGCUAUCGCUAGAGGAUGGGCCUGCGUCUGAUUAGCUAGUUGGUGGGUAACGCUACAAGGCGAUGAUCAGUAGCCGGUCUGAGAGGAUGAACGGCCACAUUGGGACUGAGACACGGCCCAGACUCCUACGGGAGGCA
This 349-nucleotide ribosomal RNA is filed under the name uncultured bacterium. RNAcentral describes it as "bacterial SSU rRNA". It matches the Rfam family "Bacterial small subunit ribosomal RNA", at positions 8 to 350 of the family's 1533-position model. The record is from RNAcentral.